Molecule: long non-coding RNA, 557 nt
Filed under: Manacus vitellinus (golden-collared manakin)
Lineage: Eukaryota; Metazoa; Chordata; Aves; Passeriformes; Pipridae
Description: lncRNA (ENSMVIG00005003380.1)
Source: RNAcentral
GCCUUGUAGCUUUAGCAAAUAAUUUAUUUGGUUGCUUUUUUUCAUUCUUUUUGUAGACUCGUGUAUGAUGCACAGACUUUGGACAGGACAUAUCUAGAAAACAAAAAGCAGUUGAAUGCAAUGCAGAGUGACCUUGACUGAGAAGAAGCAGAUGAUGAUUAGAAGAAAGAAAAGAAAGAAAAGGGUAGAUCUUUUCCAUAGGUCUGUUUGGCCUUUGUGACACAAUAUGAUGGAGAGAAGGCACACUUGAAUAGUUUGCUUUGAAGACUGAGCGUCCUGAUUUAGCAAAUGCAGGCACUGCAAAGCAGUGUGGGACAAAACACCCAGUGAUUUCACUGCAACCAUCACUGUGCUUCAUAGACAGCUCUGCAGAGUUGGUCUCAUCCCAUCUACCUUCUUUCUUUACCUCCUACCUGCCUAAGAGCCAACACAGAUUGCCACAGUGUUAAUUCUAGCCAAUUCCAGUGGAAAAUAAGGGCAUAUGACAAGAGUGCACAUAUGUUAAUGACUCAGGCACCCUGAACGUUUUAUUUGUCAUUUUAUAUGUUGUUUGUUAC